RNAcentral lists this ribosomal RNA (437 nucleotides) under Sinolacme tortilla. RNAcentral describes it as "partial 16S ribosomal RNA". Lineage: Eukaryota; Metazoa; Arthropoda; Insecta; Hemiptera; Delphacidae. The record is from RNAcentral.
UUUAAAUAGCUGCAGUAUUUUAACUGUACUAAGGUAGCAUAAUAAUUAGUCUUUUAAUUGAGGUCUAGAAUGAAUGGUUUAACAAGAUAAUAACUUUAUUUAAUUAAUUAGUUUGAAUUUAAUUUUUUAGUUAAAAAGCUAAAAUUUUUAAAUGGGACGAUAAGACCCUAUAGAUCUUCAAAUUUUAAUAAAUAGAAUGGUUUUAGGUUAUUUGAGGUUUAAAAUUAAAAUUUUUUGUUGGGGUGACAAAUAAAAUUUUAAACCUUUAUUUUUAAUAAACAUUUAUUUAUGGUGAAGUUGAUCCUAAAUUUUGGACUAAAAGAUUUAGAUACCUUAGGGAUAACAGCGUAAUAAAUUUGAAUAGUUCAUAUAGAUAAAUUUGUUUACGACCUCGAUGUUGAAUUAAUGAAAAUUUUUGGAGUAGAAAAUAAAAUACA